CCAACGCAAAUCAAUGGAGCUGCCGACCCGGAUUGUUGUCGGCUGCUAUAAGAAGGGAGGGUCCUCGGCUCGAAUAGCCAUCAGGUCAAUUUUGGACGAAGCAUCCAACGUCGACACCGAGUUCAAUGCAGGAAGAAGCGCCGAGUUCGCCGGAGGUAGAAGAAGCGCCGAGUUUGCCGGAGGUAGAAGAACAGCCGUCGAUCCGUCCAAUGUCGCCUGCGUCGGCUACAGCAGAGGUAUGUAUCCCCUUAACCCCUGUUUUGAGUUAUUUUUCUGUCCCCCGUUUCUCUGUGUACCUUCUAAUAUGGAGUUCAGAGGUGAAGAUAUUGCUGCGAAGUACGUCAGUUUAGAUAUUGUUGCGAAGUACGUCAGUUUAGAUAUUGUUGCCUUCUUGUGAUUGUAGACACCCAUGUUGUGUGGUUGGUCUGUUGAACAACGAAAUUGCUAUGCGUACGAUGAAUUGUGCGUACGGCUUUGUACGUUGAACAAAGCACUGGAACUGUCAGCAAUUCAUUCAGGUAGUGUUGUUCUCUGAGCAGAGAAAACAAAAUUCAGUAAUUGCUGGUGGGUUCUGAUCCAUCUGGACGGAACUGAACUUCUAAACAUGCAGAGGCAUGCUAGAUAUAUAUAUUAUAUAUUAUAUAUACCAUCGUAGUCCCUCGACGCCGGUCAAUAUCCUUGCCGGAGCCUCGCCUGCCGGCUCCUUGGAGCACGCUGCCCGCCGGUGGACACCCAAUUGUGCGCGAACCCGCCGAGGACUGACCUCGCCACCUCUGUGCCUCCCCCAGGAUCUCCGCCACCGCCUUGUGCUGCUGUGCGCAAGGAUACCGCUGCCUCUCCCUGGUACAUCCAUCUCCACUUCCUCGGGGCGCUGCUCGCUGGCUCAUGACCUGCUAUAGAGUUGACGUUUGCGCACACAAGUUCCCCUGUCUGGCUCUGCCGGCUCCCGUAGUUGAGCAGAGCGAGGAGAUCGACAGAGGAAAUACUCACUUGAUUUUGCAAAUUAUGUUGGGCAUGGAGAUUGAUCUGUUAUUUUUGGUUGUCCCUAGAUUCAAGGAUGACAGCGCCCAAACCUUUCCCUGAUGUUUGGGCAAAGGUGUGUGUGUGUGAUGUGCGAGCAAAGCGACGAAACAAUGGUGGCUGGUUAUGUAUCUCGCGGGACUCAACGGUUACAGUUUCGGGAGCAGCACUGUUGCUUGCUAGCAUAUUUUUUCUUACAUAUAUGAACUGAUGAUGCUUUAUUUGGUGUUGUUUCCCAUGGCAGUACAUUAUGGCUUUGUUGACGAUGAUUUCUGCUAAUGUGCAUACAGCAGAGGAAUAGACCCGGCAAGGAAGAGAGCUACACCAAUGUAGUCGGUGGAAUUAACAAGCAAAGUAAAUCCUGAAGCUCCUGGUUGUAACAAGAGGUAAUUCCCCGUUUUCCAUGCACAAUGCAUUAGUUGAUACAGAGUAUUUGUGCGUCCAAAUAGCAACAUGAAUUUGGUUUUAGUAGUUUUUGAAUUCAAGUGUCAGAAAAAUCAUGCUGCUUAUUUUCGUAGCAUUUGUGAUGGAUCGAUUUUGUGUUGGAGGCCGAGGAUUGGGUCUGCACCUCUUACCACAGUCAGUUGUCAUCGGUGGCCAGCCAGCGACACUGGUGAAGGAAUGAGUGUGGCCGGAGAUCUUUUGGUGACGUCCGGUGCAUGUCACGUGACAGAGUGGAGGCGCAGACUCCCCUGCCCCAGCUUUGGCGCCGCCACCUACCAAUGCGCAGCACAAGCCUGACUGACACAGCCCAAAUCUUGAUUCGGCACCAUCACGGAGCAUGACGAGGCGUUGCAGUGAAGCUAUAGAGCGCGUUGUUCCACGGUGAGCUCCCAAAUUCACAUGGUGGAUUCUAGAUUACUGGAGCUAUACAAGGCAGCCAUGUGACAACAGAGUAAACUGGAGUGAAAUAAAGUGAUGGAGCCAAAGCAAGAGUGUAGGGCAGUCACGUGGCAUACACAAGGUGAAAGUUCUACAUAAAGACUAACAGAAACAUGGGAAAAUCACAAGGAUGUUCCAUUCAAUACAAACAUGUACAUGUUACAAAAUUGUUGUUUUGCACUGUAAUUUGGUUGAGUUUAGUUCUGGAGAAUGAGUAUGUUCGUUCGGUAGUUAGCUUUUAGCAGUAUGUAGAAUAUGAAAGGAUUUGCUGGAAAUUGGGAUAAAUAAUAUGCGUGUGAACUAAAUUUUUUCUUUGAGCUCAUACUAAACGAGAAAAUGCUUCAAAUUUAUGAGGUUGCCUGGGAAGCUAAUGAAGACAGACCAGUGAAUGUUCACGCUUGAGAAUUCUUGGAUUUCUCUGCCACAUACAUAUGGUCGUGGACCAUCCAUAUGAAUUUAUUUAAAAAAAAUUCUCCCGUUGCAACGCACGGGCAUUUUUCCUAUACCUUAAAAAGAUAGAUGUGUUGAUUUAGUUCACCUGUACUGAACAUAUUACUUUCUGCUAUGACAUGCAUAUUCAGAAUCAUGGGGUCAGGAAAGCAAUGAAAGUUAGCAACGGCAGAUCGUAGCAAUGUCUGAACGGCCGUCUGCUACUGAAGCUCGUCCACCGUCCUCACUCUGAUGAGAUCAAAAGCCACAAUAUGUAUGCAUGUUGAGAAAAAAAAUAUUUUAAGAUGUGUGUUUUGUCAUAUAGUUCAACCAAUACAUAUUUGUUUAUGGAUCAUUCGCAUUUGGCAAGUACUCACACUACAUUUUCAGCUAUGCAUGUGAAUGCUUGGGGAGACACUACAUGGCAUAGUUAACUUUUGUUCUGGUUCAAUUAUAUGUUUUUACUGACACUUUCCUACUAAGAAUGCGUUUCCAUUAAUUUUUCUCCCUGUUGAUAUUUUUCCUCUUAGCAUCAUCCAUCAUCAUUGCCCCAUGACCCGACUUGCUUUCCCAAAUGCACGAACAAACAUCUGCUCUGUAUGCACAGCAAACUUUAGUUCCAUUCAAUGCCAUCACAAGAUCCCCUUACAGUAUGUGAACAAAGUUGCAUUCCUUUGGUUCAGAUGUGACAUUUUCUCAUUUGAUUGUUCAUUAAAUUUGCAAGCGAGCUAUUUUAGUUAGAUGCUCUAAAAGA
Non-coding RNA from Aegilops tauschii subsp. strangulata, 3085 nucleotides. The record is from RefSeq and is a predicted model, not a curated record. Lineage: Eukaryota; Viridiplantae; Streptophyta; Magnoliopsida; Poales; Poaceae.